RNAcentral lists this unclassified non-coding RNA (2222 nucleotides) under Gigantopelta aegis. Its description in RNAcentral is "glycerol-3-phosphate acyltransferase 4-like, transcript variant X1". Lineage: Eukaryota; Metazoa; Mollusca; Gastropoda; Neomphalida; Peltospiridae. The record is from RNAcentral.
AGCGAUUGACAGAGCCGUGUGAUUCAGAAGAGUGUGUUUCUACAAAAUUGGCCUUAAAUGGUGAAAUUGCCAGUUUCUACUCCCAAUCUCAUAUAUCGAGAUAUUUCUCAAUCGCGUGUUUUGGAUGUUCCCAGCGUCAACUCCAUCCAGAAAGCAUUCCACUUGUGUGACGUCAUGGAUUUUCUUAAGUGUGGAAUGGAGGCCAUUAUUGAAGAUGAAGUAACAACUCGUUUUUCAGCUGAAGAAUUGUCGUCUUGGAAUUUAUUGACUAGGACAGACUGUGGAUACCAGUUUAUCAGUUGGCGACUCACAUUUCUGUGGGGUAUCGGCUUCUUUGUCAGAUAUUUCAUACUGCUUCCAUUCAGAUUUGUGUUGAUGUCUUUUGGUAUUGUUUGGCUCAUCACUUGUACAGCAUUCAUAGGAUAUUUACCACCAGGAAAAAUGAAAAGACAGUUGAACCAGUAUGUUUCAUUAAUGUGUGCCCGCAUCCUGGCUCGGGCAAUUUCAGCCAUGGUAGUGUUCCAUGACAGACAGAAUAUGGUUAAGCAUGGGAUAUGUGUUGCUAAUCAUACUUCUCCAAUUGAUGUGAUAAUUCUGUCAUGUGACAACUGUUAUGCUCUGGUGGGACAAGCACAGGGAGGCCUGUUUGGGGUUUUACAACGAGCACUGGGACGUGCAACACACCAUGUCUGGUUCGAGCGGUCAGAGCUCAAAGACAGACACUUGGUGGCCGAAAGAUUAAGAGAGCAUGUGGAGAAUGUCAACAAACUUCCAAUGUUAAUAUUUCCUGAAGGAACGUGCAUCAACAAUACUUCUGUGAUGAUGUUCAAAAAGGGAAGUUUUGAAAUCAGUUCCACAAUUUAUCCAGUAGCAAUCAAAUAUGAUGCGCGGUUUGGUGACGCGUUCUGGAACAGCAGUAAACACGGGAUGAUCGGACAUUUCCUCUACAUCAUGACGAGCUGGGCCGUCGUCUGCGACGUCUGGUAUCUCCCGCCCAUGACAAGACUGAAAAUAAUACACAAGUGUAUAAGGAGACGAUUUCUUUACAAGUGGUUUCCAAACGUAUCUAACAAGCGAAGGAUGGCGAGGAUGCGGUAGAGUUUGCGAACAGAGUGAAGGGUGAAAUAGCCAGAAAGGGUGGACUCGUAGAUUUAGAAUGGGACGGACAAUUAAAAAGAAGUCAACCGAAAUCAUCGUUUUUAGAAAAACAACAAAAAUUUUAUAGCCAAAUGCUUAAAAUGGAAUGAACUAACGAAUUUGUGGUUGAAAGUGAAAGGAACAAUUGAAUGAACACUCAGUGGGCUGUUUAAAGUGAACCUUGAGCGAGUUGCUGAAAAUGAGUGAAUGUUGAGUGGUUUGUUUAAAAGUUGAAUGAGCAAGAUAAGAAAAAUCCAAUUUUCUGUAAAUGUUAUUGAAAUUUGUCGGCAUACAUCGAGUCAUUUUCAUCAGACUGAAUUUUGUGAGUUCAUAGUUAGUUUAUCUGUCACUUGCUUUUAGACAUACACGUAGUCCGUGUUCUAAUUGCUACAGGUUAUCUGUGUCAUGUUUCCGUAUUUUCAUUUAAUGCGGCUGUAAAACAGGCCAGUCUGGGGUGGGAAGGUUUAUUGUUGGUACAAAAUAUUAUCUGGGCACAGUAAUAAAAGGUCUUCUUUAGCUAUACAAAAAGUGAACUUUUAAAACCAAAUAGGACACUUUUUUAUGUUUGGAGCCAGUUGGCUCACUGCCCAUUCCCACUAUGUAUGUUACAGUAUUAAAAUUGUUUUGUGUUGUUGUUUCUACUUAAUUUCAUGCUUUUAUCCCGCAAUCACUGUAUUCAUUGUCAAGAUAUAAUGACUAGAUAUAUUUCUAUAAAUAUAGGUCACGUGACAUAAGCACGACUCGACUCAAGUAUUUCAGACUAGAUUUUCAAUAAACAUACUCUUUAAAUCAUUUGUUUUAUUACAGUAAAUGAAAAUAAAUUUUAGUUUUGCGAUAACAAUACAAAGCUUGUGUAUUUGUUUAUGAAUUGGAGUUUAGAAACACUUUUUGAAUGUGACAGAAUGUAGCUAACGUCUUGUAAAGAAUGACGUCAUAUAUCUUGUAUGACAUCAUACGGCAAAACCCUUGCUAGGUUGACAAUACUCAAUUUGCGUACACAAAAAUGGAAUAAAUAAUGAUUUUCUGAUUAUUCCUGUAGGAUUGCAGGAUAAAAGAAAUAAAUGGUUACUGUCUUAAGAUAUCAG